Phrynosoma platyrhinos (Desert horned lizard) is the source of this 72-nucleotide non-coding RNA. The record is from the annotation of a GenBank genome assembly. NCBI's taxonomy places the organism in Eukaryota, Metazoa, Chordata, Lepidosauria, Squamata, Phrynosomatidae.
UGCUACAUGGCACAGUGGCUUGAGCACUGGACUAAGACUCUGGAGAUCAGGGUUCAGUUCCUUGCCUGGCCA